Molecule: unclassified non-coding RNA, 329 nt
Filed under: soil metagenome
Description: partial contains 5.8S ribosomal RNA, internal transcribed spacer 2, and large subunit ribosomal RNA
Rfam family: 5.8S ribosomal RNA (bases 1-120)
Source: RNAcentral
GAUGAAGAACGCAGCGAAAUGCGAUAAGUAAUGUGAAUUGCAGAAUUCAGUGAAUCAUCGAAUUUUUGAACGCACAUUGCGCCCUCUGGUAUUCCGGGGGGCAUGCCUGUUCGAGCGUCAUUAUAACCACUCAAGCUCUCGCUUGGUAUUGGGGUUCGCGGUUUCGCGGCCCCUAAAAUCAGUGGCGGUGCCUGUCGGCUCUACGCGUAGUAAUACUUCUCGCGAUUGAGUUCGAUAGGUCUACUUGCCAGUAACCCCCAAUUUUUACAGGUUGACCUCGGAUCAGGUAGGGAUACCCGCUGAACUUAAGCAUAUCAAUAAGCGGAGGA